Molecule: long non-coding RNA, 290 nt
Organism: Olea europaea var. sylvestris
Lineage: Eukaryota; Viridiplantae; Streptophyta; Magnoliopsida; Lamiales; Oleaceae
Exons: 3
Source: RefSeq, a predicted model, not a curated record
UCGUAUUAAUGUACCUUGAAACGUAAGUCGCAGUAACUAAAGACCCAUCCAUUAUUUUAUCUGUCCGAAAAAUAUUCUCUCUCUAAAUUCUCUCAAUCUUGCAACCGAAAAAGUUUCUUGAAGAACCCAAGAAAGUUUCAGAUGUCUAGUGGAGAAGGUCGGAAAGUGUCCGUUCAAGAUAUACAGCUAGUUCAAAAUCUUAUAGAAAGGUGUCUUCAGCUUUACAUGAGCCAGAGAGAAAGUCGUGAAUACUCUCUUACUCCAGGCAAAAAUCGAGACUGGUUUCACUG